UUGAAUGAACUUGGCUUGGUUGUUGCUGGCUUCUUUGGAGGCAUGUGCACACCUUGUCAUCUUUAUAUCUCCACCUGUGCACCUCUUGUAGACCUGGAUUCAACAUUUCCGAGGCAACUCGGUCGUGAGGAAUUGCUUAACCAGCUUUCCUUGGUAGUCUCCAGGCCUAUGUUUUUCAUAUACACCAUAAGAAUGUAACAGAAUGUAAUUAUUAGACUUGAUUGUCUUAUAAACUAUAUA
Molecule: unclassified non-coding RNA, 240 nt
Filed under: uncultured Stropharia
Lineage: Eukaryota; Fungi; Basidiomycota; Agaricomycetes; Agaricales; Strophariaceae
Description: sequence contains ITS1
Source: RNAcentral